GGGCUGUUAGCUCAGUUGGUUAGAGCGCUCGCCUUACAAGCGAGAGGUCAAAGGUUCGAGCCCUUUACGGCCCA
RNAcentral lists this transfer RNA (74 nucleotides) under Pleurocapsa minor GSE-CHR-MK 17-07R. RNAcentral's name for it is "Pleurocapsa minor GSE-CHR-MK-17-07R (algae metagenome) tRNA-Val". It matches the Rfam family "tRNA". From Rfam's summary of the family: Transfer RNA (tRNA) molecules are approximately 80 nucleotides in length. Their secondary structure includes four short double-helical elements and three loops (D, anti-codon, and T loops). The record is from RNAcentral. Lineage: Bacteria; Bacillati; Cyanobacteriota; Cyanophyceae; Pleurocapsales; Pleurocapsaceae. RNAcentral also lists the same sequence under 1 other name.